UACGGAGGGUGCAAGCGUUAAUCGGAAUUACUGGGCGUAAAGCGCACGUAGGUGGUGACAAAAGUUGGAUGUGAAAUCCCCGAGCUUAACUUGGGAAUUGCAUUCAAAACUGUGUCGCUAGAGUGCAGUAGAGGGGGGUGGAAUUCUCGGUGUAGCGGUGAAAUGCGUAGAGAUCGGGAAGAACACCAGUGGCGAAGGCGACCCCCUGGUCUGUAACUGACACUGAGGUGCGAAAGCGUGGGGAGCAAACAGG
Molecule: ribosomal RNA, 253 nt
Filed under: uncultured bacterium
Lineage: Bacteria
Description: partial 16S ribosomal RNA
Rfam family: Bacterial small subunit ribosomal RNA
Source: RNAcentral